UACGGAGGGUGCAAGCGUUAAUCGGAAUUACUGGGCGUAAAGCGUGCGUAGGCGGCCUGUUAAGUCGGAUGUGAAAGCCCUGGGCUUAACCUGGGAACUGCAUUUGAAACUGGCAAGCUAGAGUUGGGUAGAGGGGAGUGGAAUUUCAGGUGUAGCGGUGAAAUGCGUAGAUAUCUGAAGGAACACCAGUGGCGAGGGCGACUCCCCGGACCCAAUCUGACGCUGAGGUACGAAAGCGUGGGUAGCAAACAGG
This 253-nucleotide ribosomal RNA is filed under the name uncultured bacterium. RNAcentral's name for it is "partial 16S ribosomal RNA". It matches the Rfam family "Bacterial small subunit ribosomal RNA", at positions 524 to 776 of the family's 1533-position model. The record is from RNAcentral.